Molecule: ribosomal RNA, 400 nt
Filed under: uncultured bacterium
Lineage: Bacteria
Description: bacterial SSU rRNA
Rfam family: Bacterial small subunit ribosomal RNA
Source: RNAcentral
GGCGGACGGGUGAGUAACGCGUGAGAAUCUGCCUUCAGGACGGAGACAACAGUUGGAAACGACUGCUAAGCCCCGAUGAACCGAAAGGGAAAAUAUUUAUAGCCUGAAGAUGAGCUCGCGUCCGAUUAGCUAGUUGGGGGGGUAAAGGCCCACCAAGGCGACGAUCGGUAGCUGGCCUGAGAGGACGAUCAGCCACACUGGGACUGAGACACGGCCAGACUCCUACGGGAGGCAGCAGUGGGGAAUUUUCCGCAAUGGGCGAAAGCCUGACGGAGCAAGACCGCGUGGGGGAAGAAGGCUCUUGGGUUGUAAACCCCUUUUCUCUGGGAAGAAAGUUGUGAAAGCAACCUGACGGUACCAGAGGAAUCAGCAUCGGCUAACUCCGUGCCAGCCGCCGCGG